GCAGGCUUGGCAGAGGCAGGGCCACUGUACAGGUUAAUCUAGCACCAGCUAGCAUGACAAACAGGUACAUGAUCAGAUACAUGAGUAUGACAAUUAAUGCACUUACGUUGGGCAGAGCGCCUCUUAAAGAACAGCAGUGCAGCAAGGAGUCCAAUGAUCAGAGAGCCUAUGACUGCAACCGGGGCUAGCCAUUUGGUGGUGGAGACAAUAUCCAAGUGGUCACUUUUAAUACCUGGACAGACAAAAUGGACAGAAAUUAGGAGUUACAAAAUAAAUAGGCAAUUCAUAUGAAGUCAAGAGAAAAAGUGUCACGACUUCCGCCGAAGUCGGCCCUUCUCCUUGUUCGGGUGGUGUUCGGCGGUCGACGUCACCGGCUUUCUAGUCACUACCGAUCCAUUUUUCUGUUUCGUUUUGUUUCGUCUGAUUACAUACACACAUGUUUUACAUUCCCUCCUUCUGUUCUGUCCGUGAUUGUUUAUGUCGUUGUGUUCGUGUUAGAGUUUUGUUUUAUGUUCCAUUUUGGAAUUUUGCUUUAUUCUUUAAGUAAAUUCAGUUGGAUUACUCCAUACCUGCGCCUGACUCCGCUUUCACUCUGCACCCAAUCGCUGACAGAAUCACGGACCAUUCAAAUGGAAUCAGCAGGUACAGCCAGCCCUUCUCUCCCAGUAGAGGAGCGAGUUCAGCAGCACGCGACCAUGUUAAACCGGCUAGGGCCAGCCAUGGAUCGCAUGUUGUAAACUAUGGACAGAUGGGAGAGGAGGCUUUCCUGUCAACGCUACUACACCUCCACCCGCGCCUCAACCUACACCGAUGUCCACCCCUCUGUCGUCAAGUCCCCGUGGAAUUCAGGCUCUUGCUCACAGGAGCCAGGGUAUCCUACUCCAGCUGGAGCUCUACCUGGCAGCUCUUCAGCCGGCACCUUCCGGACGUGAGAGAGUGGGCGCUCUCAUCUCCUGCCUGACUGGAAAAGCCCUGGAGUGGGCCAACGCCAUCUGGGGAAGGGAAGGUCCGACUCUGGAUGACUAUGAGGACUUCUCCCUCCGCUUCCAUCUGGGGAAGAGAAGGACCGACUCUGGAUGACUAUGAGGUCUUCUCCCUCCGCUUCCAUCUGGGGAAGGGAAGGACCGACUCUGGAUGACUAUGAGGACUUCUCCCUCCGCUUCCAUCUGGGGAAGGGAAGGACCGACUCUGGAUGACUAUGAGGUCUUCUCCCUCCGCUUCCAUCUGGGGAAGGGAAGGACCGACUCUGGAUGACUAUGAGGACUUCUCCCUCCGCUUCCAUCUGGGGAAGAGAAGGACCGACUCUGGAUGACUAUGAGGUCUUCUCCCUCCGCUUCCAUCUGGGGAAGGGAAGGACCGACUCUGGAUGACUAUGAGGACUUCUCCCUCCGCUUCCAUCUGGGGAAGGGAAGGUCCGACUCUGGAUGACUACGAGGACUUCUCCCUCCGCUUCCAUCUGGGGAAGGGAAGGUCCGACUCUGGAUGACUAUGAGGAUUUCUCCAUCCGCUUCCAUCUGGGGAAGGGAAGGUCCGACUCUGGAUGACUAUGAGGACUUCUCCCUCCGCUUCCAUCUGGGGAAGGGAAGGUCCGACUCUGGAUGACUACAGGACUUCUCCCGCCGCUUCCAUCUGGGGAAGGGAAGGACCGACUCUGGAUGACUAUGAGGACUUCUCCCUUUGUUUCAUCUAAGAGUUUGUUUCAUCUAAGAAAGGAGAUGAGGAGCGCUCAAGAGUUCGCACUGGACUUCCGCACUGGACUCUGGCAGCUGGUGCGGGAUGGAAUGAGCGGGCCCUGAUCGACCACUACAGGUGUAGUUUACGUGAGGACGUUCGAAUGGAGCUAGCCUGCAGGGACACUACUCUCAACCUGGACCAGCUGGUGGACUUGUCUAUCCGGCUGGAUAACCUGUUGGCCUCCCGUGGACGUCUGGAUUGGGGUCCGCCCGUUCCAUUACCCAGCACAUUGGAUCCCACACCUAUGGAGCUACGAGGGGGACCGGAGGGGGGACCAUUCCCUGCACCAGCUGUGGCCGCAGAGGGCACACUGCUGGUCGGUGCUGAGGGGGUUCUCCAGGAGGUCGAGGUAGCAGGCGGAGCACUGGUGGGUCAUCCCAGGUGAGUAGGCACACAACUCACCCAAAGCCCCCUGUUGCACACAUGUGGUUACCUGUAGAAUUUCCUGAGUUCUCCCCACAUUCCCAGCAUAAGGAGCUAGUAGAUUCAGGCGCAGCUGGGAACUUUAUUGACCGCUCCUUAGCACAUAGAUUAGGGAUCCCUAUUGUUCCUGUUGAUGUUCCUUUCCCUGUACAUGCCUUAGAUAGUCGUCCUUUGGGGUCAGGGCUAAUUGGCGAGGGGAUUGUGCGAUAGAUCUCUUGGUAGAUGCUGCACAUCCCAGGAGUCAUGUGUAUCCUCUGUCACAGGAGGAGACGGUGGCUAUGGAGACAUAUGUCACCGAAUCUCUGGGACAGGGAUACAUUCAACCUUCCAUCUCACCUGUCUCCUCAAGUUUAUUUUUUGUGAAGGAUGGAGGUUUGCGCCUGUGUAUUGAUUAUCGAGGUUUAAAUAAGAUCACGGUAAAAUACAGUUACCAGCUAACGCUCAUAGCCAG
Long non-coding RNA from Oncorhynchus tshawytscha (Chinook salmon), 2608 nucleotides. The record is from Ensembl. Lineage: Eukaryota; Metazoa; Chordata; Actinopteri; Salmoniformes; Salmonidae.